This 489-nucleotide ribosomal RNA is filed under the name uncultured bacterium. RNAcentral's name for it is "partial 16S ribosomal RNA". It matches the Rfam family "Bacterial small subunit ribosomal RNA", at positions 29 to 506 of the family's 1533-position model. The record is from RNAcentral.
AGUGAACGCUGGCGGUAGGCCUAACACAUGCAAGUCGAACGGCAGCACAGGAGAGCUUGCUCUCUGGGUGGCGAGUGGCGGACGGGUGAGGAAUACAUCGGAAUCUGCCCAGUCGUGGGGGAUAACGUAGGGAAACUUACGCUAAUACCGCAUACGACCUUCGGGUGAAAGAGGGGGAUCGCAAGACCUCUCGCGAUUGGAUGAGCCGAUGUCGGAUUAGCUAGUUGGCGGGGUAAUGGCCCACCAAGGCGACGAUCCGUAGCUGGUCUGAGAGGAUGAUCAGCCACACUGGAACUGAGACACGGUCCAGACUCCUACGGGAGGCAGCAGUGGGGAAUAUUGGACAAUGGGCGCAAGCCUGAUCCAGCCAUACCGCGUGGGUGAAGAAGGCCUGCGGGUUGUAAAGCCCUUUUGUUGGGAAAGAAAUCUUUCAGGCUAAUACCCUGGGAGGAUGACGGUACCCAAAGAAUAAGCACCGGCUAACUUCGU